UACGAAGGGUGCAAGCGUUACUCGGAAUUACUGGGCGUAAAGCGUGCGUAGGUGGUUCGUUAAGUCUGUCGUGAAAGCCCCGGGCUCAACCUGGGAAUGGCGAUGGAUACUGGCGGGCUAGAGUGCGGUAGAGGAGAGUGGAAUUCCCGGUGUAGCAGUGAAAUGCGUAGAUAUCGAGAGGAACACCAGAGGCGAAGGCGAGUCACUGGACAGAUUCUGACGCUGAGGCACGAAAGCCAGGGGAGCAAACGGG
Molecule: ribosomal RNA, 253 nt
Filed under: uncultured prokaryote
Description: partial 16S ribosomal RNA
Rfam family: Bacterial small subunit ribosomal RNA
Source: RNAcentral